CCAUAUGCAAACACUUUUCUUUCUUCGCCAAAUUUGUUACUAGAUGCGAAUGAACAAACCACACAGCAGUAGCAAAGCAAAGCAUCAACAACCCCAAUAGCUGAUCGUAGAUGCGAACUCAAUUUUGACCCGAAGUAUAAGCAUUCAAUGCGAAACCCGAUCGUCCCCAAGGAAUUUAACGUCUCUGCUGUGAACAACCAAAAUCAGUUGAACCUUAUUUGACUCCAAAAAGUCAAAUCCAAAUCGAAUUCAUCAAUUCGUUCAUAUAAGCGAACUGAACACCAUGUUAAUCGAUUUCUCAUUCUCCCUACACAUAUCGAAAUCAACUCCGUUCGUCCCAAUACAAGCAUCUUUUCAAGCAAAUCUAAAGCUCCUGGGGAUUUCGCAUUCACCAGGAAACUCUUCUUGUUCGUGAAGAGUUGCUGCAAAAUGGUGAUGUUAAUGAACUUCUCAUUGAACUUCAAACUAAAGGCAUGAUUUUUGCUCUUUUAAUGUUCAAAUUGUGGGAAAUAGCCUUGUACUUUAGUCACACUACUAAAUAGGCAACAUACUUUUUCUUUUACCCACAAUGGAAUAGGGAUACAUAAAAGAAGUUGUGGUUGAUGAAGAUCGGUCUGAGUGGGACCGAUUACAAUGUUGAGAAAAAAAAGAAAAUCAAGAAAGUUAUUGAGAAGUACUGGAAGUGGGAUCUCACUAACAAUACACAACAUAUAUGGCUUAGAAAUCCUAAAAAAGUUAUAACAUAGGAAUAUCAUGAUAUCUACAAGAAGACGAUUAAUGAGUACCUAGAAUCUAAGACUAUAUGGCAAAUGUGUCUUCAAUUCAUAUGAUUUUGAUGGAAAAUUGGUAAGAUUAAUAGCAAUGUACUUUUGCGGGAUAAAAUAAUUUAUUUUUUUUAUUUUUACUUUUAACCGUUUUCUUUUUCUUUUUAUAUUUUCUUUAGCUUCCACGGUACCUAAGUUUUGUGACACGUGUUAUUGACUCCAAUGAUCUUCCCUUUAAUGUAUCAAAUGAAAUCCUCCAAGAAAGUGGUACGUGU
This is a long non-coding RNA of Lactuca sativa (garden lettuce), 1039 nucleotides long. RefSeq lists it as uncharacterized. Lineage: Eukaryota; Viridiplantae; Streptophyta; Magnoliopsida; Asterales; Asteraceae. The record is from RefSeq and is a predicted model, not a curated record.